GACGAACGCUGGCGGCGUGCUUAACACAUGCAAGUCGAACGGAAAGGCCCUGCUUUUGUGGGGUGCUCGAGUGGCGAACGGGUGAGUAACACGUGAGUAACCUGCCCUUGACUUUGGGAUAACUUCAGGAAACUGGGGCUAAUACCGGAUAGGAGCUCCUGCUGCAUGGUGGGGGUUGGAAAGUUUCGGCGGUUGGGGAUGGACUCGCGGCUUAUCAGCUUGUUGGGGGGGUAGUGGCUUACCAAAGCUUUGACGGGUAGCCGGCCUGAGAGGGUAACCGGCCCAGCUACAAUGGAAAUAAGACACGGCCUCGUAUGGUACGCAGCAGAGCAGUAGAGUAUAUAAGAGACGGAGCCCUAGUCUAGUACCGCCGCGUCCGGGGAGACGUGCUGCGGGUUGGAUUCUGCAUUCCUUUUUGACGAAGAGUUAAUGACGGUACCGGGUGAAUAAGCACCGGCUAACUCCGUG
Molecule: ribosomal RNA, 468 nt
Filed under: uncultured bacterium
Lineage: Bacteria
Description: partial 16S ribosomal RNA
Rfam family: Bacterial small subunit ribosomal RNA
Source: RNAcentral